GAUGAACGCUGGCGGCGUGCCUAAUACAUGCAAGUCGAGCGAACAGACGAGGAGCUUGCUCCUCUGACGUUAGCGGCGGACGGGUGAGUAACACGUGGAUAACCUACCUAUAAGACUGGGAUAACUUCGGGAAACCGGAGCUACUACCGGAUAAUAUAUUGAACCGCAUGGUUCAAUAGUGAAAGACUGUUUUGCUGUCACUUAUAGAUGGAUCCGCGCCGCAUUAGCUAGUUGGUAAGGUAACGGCUUACCAAGGCAACGAUGCGUAGCCGACCUGAGAGGGUGAUCGGCCACACUGGAACUGAGACACGGUCCAGACUCCUACGGGAGGCAGCAGUAGGGAAUCUUCGGCAAUGGGCGAAAGCCUGACGGAGCAACGCCGCGUGAGUGAUGAAGGUCUUCGGAUCGUAAAACUCUGUUAUUAGGGAAGAACAAAUGUGUAAGUAACUAUGCACGUCUUGACGGUACCUAAUCAGAAAGCCACGGCUAACUACGUG
This 497-nucleotide ribosomal RNA is filed under the name uncultured bacterium. RNAcentral's name for it is "partial 16S ribosomal RNA". It matches the Rfam family "Bacterial small subunit ribosomal RNA", at positions 28 to 507 of the family's 1533-position model. The record is from RNAcentral.